AAUGAAUGGUUGGACGAAAUACAUACUGUUUCAUUUAAAAUUUAAAUAGAAUUUUAUUUUUUAGUUAAAAAGCUAAAAUAUAGUCAAAAGACGAGAAGACCCUAUAAAUCUUAAUUGUGUAUAAAUUUUUAAUUUGGGUUGAUUUUUUUAAGUAUAAAUUUAUAUAUAAUUUCAUUGGGGUGAUGUUAAAAUUUAAUUAACUUUUAAUAAUUUUAUUCAUUUAUUUAUGAUUAAGUGAUCCAUUAUUAGUGAUUAUAAAUUUAAGUUACUUUAGGGAUAACAGCGUAAUUUUUUUGGAGAGUUCUUAUCGAUAAAAAAGUUUGCGACCUCGAUGUUGGAUUAAGAUUCAUAUUUAAAUGUAGAAGUUUAAAUAUUAAGUCUGUUCGACUUUUUAUUCUUACAUGAUCUGAGUUCAAACCGGUGUAAGCCAGGUUGGUUUCUAUCUUUGAUUUAAUAAAAUAUUUUAGUACGAAAGGAAUUAGUAUUUAUUUUUUAGAAAUUUAAUUAAUGAAUAAAUUUAAUUACUAU
This 528-nucleotide ribosomal RNA is filed under the name Teleopsis whitei. Its description in RNAcentral is "partial 16S ribosomal RNA". The stretch from base 276 to 434 matches the Rfam family "Bacterial large subunit ribosomal RNA", at positions 2473 to 2632 of the family's 2925-position model. Lineage: Eukaryota; Metazoa; Arthropoda; Insecta; Diptera; Diopsidae. The record is from RNAcentral.